AGAGUUUGAUCAUGGCUCAGAGCGAACGCUGGCGGCAUGCUUAACACAUGCAAGUCGCACGGCCCGCAAGGGCAGUGGCGGACGGGUGAGUAACGCGUAGGUAUCUAUCUCCGGGUGGGGGACAACUGUGGGAAACUACAGCUAAUACCGCAUGAUGCCCGAGGGCCAAAGGCGCAAGUCGCCUGGAGAGGAGCCUGCGUACGAUUAGCUUGUUGGCGGGGUAAAGGCCCACCAAGGCGACGAUCGUUAGCUGGUCUGAGAGGAUGAUCAGCCACACUGGGACUGAGACACGGCCCAGACUCCUACGGGAGGCAGCAGUGGGGAAUAUUGGACAAUGGGCGCAAGCCUGAUCCAGCAAUGCCGCGUGAGUGAAGAAGGUCUUCGGAUUGUAAAGCUCUUUCGACGGGGACGAUGAUGACGGUACCCGUAGAAGAAGCCCCGGCUAACUUCGUGCCAGCAGCCGCGGUAAUACGAAGGGGGCUAGCGUUGCUCGGAAUGACUGGGCGUAAAGGGCGCGUAGGCGGUUCGUACAGUCAGACGUGAAAUUCCCGGGCUCAACCUGGGGGCUGCGUUUGAUACGUGCGGGCUUGAGUUCGGAAGAGGGUCGUGGAAUUCCCAGUGUAGAGGUGAAAUUCGUAGAUAUUGGGAAGAACACCGGUGGCGAAGGCGGCGACCUGGUCCGAUACUGACGCUGAGGCGCGAAAGCGUGGGGAGCAAACAGGAUUAGAUACCCUAGUAGUCC
RNAcentral lists this ribosomal RNA (742 nucleotides) under uncultured bacterium. RNAcentral's name for it is "bacterial SSU rRNA". It matches the Rfam family "Bacterial small subunit ribosomal RNA", at positions 8 to 796 of the family's 1533-position model. The record is from RNAcentral.